GAACUUGAGUGCAGAAGAGGAGAGUGGAAUUCCACGUGUAGCGGUGAAAUGCGUAGAGAUGUGGAGGAACACCAGUGGCGAAGGCGACUCUCUGGUCUGUAACUGACGCUGAGGAGCGAAAGCGUGGGGAGCGAACAGGAUUAGAUACCCUGGUAGUCCACGCCGUAAACGAUGAGUGCUAAGUGUUAGGGGGUUUCCGCCCCUUAGUGCUGCAGCUAACGCAUUAAGCACUCCGGCUGGGGAGUACCGUCGCAAGACUGAAACUCAAAGGAAUUGACGGGGGCCCGCACAAGCGGUGGAUCAUGUGGUUUAAUUCGAAGCAACGCGAAGAACCUUACCAGGUCUUGACAUCCUCUGACAAUCCUAGAGAUAGGACGUCCCCUUCGGGGGCAGAGUGACAGGUGGUGCAUGGUUGUCGUCAGCUCGUGUCGUGAGAUGUUGGGUUAAGUCCCGCAACGAGCGCAACCCUUGAUCUUAGUUGCCAGCAUUCAGUUGGGCACUCUAAGGUGACUGCCGGUGACAAACCGGAGGAAGGUGGGGAUGACGUCAAAUCAUCAUGCCCCUUAUGACCUGGGCUACACACGUGCUACAAUGGACAGAACAAAGGGCAGCGAAACCGCGAGGUUAAGCCAAUCCCACAAAUCUGUUCUCAGUUCGGAUCGCAGUCUGCAACUCGACUGCGUGAAGCUGGAAUCGCUAGUAAUCGCGGAUCAGCUGCCGCGGAUUCCCG
RNAcentral lists this ribosomal RNA (730 nucleotides) under Bacillus subtilis. RNAcentral's name for it is "bacterial SSU rRNA". It matches the Rfam family "Bacterial small subunit ribosomal RNA", at positions 638 to 1370 of the family's 1533-position model. The record is from RNAcentral. Lineage: Bacteria; Bacillati; Bacillota; Bacilli; Caryophanales; Bacillaceae.